Molecule: ribosomal RNA, 492 nt
Filed under: uncultured bacterium
Lineage: Bacteria
Description: partial 16S ribosomal RNA
Rfam family: Bacterial small subunit ribosomal RNA
Source: RNAcentral
AUUGAACGCUGGCGGCAUGCCUAACACAUGCAAGUCGAGCGAACCUAGCUUGCUAGGUGAGCGGCGAACGGGUGAGUAACGCGUAGGAAUCUGCCUGGUAGUGGGGGACAACGUUCCGAAAGGAACGCUAAUACCGCAUACGCCCUACGGGGGAAAGCAGGGGAUCUUCGGACCUUGCGCUAUCAGAUGAGCCUGCGUCGGAUUAGCUAGUUGGUAGGGUAAAGGCCUACCAAGGCGACGAUCCGUAACUGGUCUGAGAGGAUGAUCAGUCACACCGGAACUGAGACACGGUCCGGACUCCUACGGGAGGCAGCAGUGGGGAAUAUUGGACAAUGGGGGCAACCCUGAUCCAGCCAUGCCGCGUGUGUGAAGAAGGCCUUCGGGUUGUAAAGCACUUUAGGUCGGGAGGAAGGUUCGCCGGCUAAUAUCCAGCGGAAUUGACGUUACCGACAGAAUAAGCACCGGCUAACUCCGUGCCAGCAGCCGCCGUAA